CUCAGAGGCCAUACCACCUGCAGUUUAGUUCAGACUAUCUACUCUGAAGCUAAGCAGGUUUGGGCUUGGCCUGGGCUUGGAUGGGAGACCAACUAGGAAAGCUGGACUGCUCCUGGAA
RNAcentral lists this ribosomal RNA (118 nucleotides) under Paramormyrops kingsleyae. Lineage: Eukaryota; Metazoa; Chordata; Actinopteri; Osteoglossiformes; Mormyridae. The record is from RNAcentral.